RNAcentral lists this ribosomal RNA (253 nucleotides) under uncultured prokaryote. RNAcentral's name for it is "partial 16S ribosomal RNA". It matches the Rfam family "Bacterial small subunit ribosomal RNA", at positions 525 to 777 of the family's 1533-position model. The record is from RNAcentral.
ACGGAGGAUCCGAGCGUUAUCCGGAUUUAUUGGGUUUAAAGGGUGCGUAGGUGGCCUGUUAAGUCAGGGGUGAAAGACGGUAGCUCAACUAUCGCAGUGCCCUUGAUACUGAUGGGCUUGAAUGAACUAGAGGUAGGCGGAAUGUGACAAGUAGCGGUGAAAUGCAUAGAUAUCAAGAGGAACACCUGCGGCGAAGGCGGGUUGCUGGGCCGACACUGACGCUGAGGCGCGAAAGCUAGGGGAGCGAACGGGA